Neofelis nebulosa (Clouded leopard) is the source of this 1455-nucleotide long non-coding RNA. RefSeq lists it as uncharacterized. The record is from RefSeq and is a predicted model, not a curated record. The transcript is spliced from 5 exons. NCBI's taxonomy places the organism in Eukaryota, Metazoa, Chordata, Mammalia, Carnivora, Felidae.
CCCAUUUCUGGCCUCCUUCGCAGCGCACGCCACCCACCCCCCACUCCCCACUCCGAAAGUGCUUAGAAACCCCCAUGAAGAACUGUGUGUGAUCAGACUAAGGAUUAAGGGGAAAGGACUUCAGCACAAGGGUGGGGCAAGCACAGAAAUGGCUUUGUAAAAACGCACAAGAUCCCGAAUUCAAAGCAGCAGCAGCGACUAAAAAGUAAAUCAGCCCUUCAAAGGAAAUAAAACUAUCCUCUUUUGGUACCUAUUUUCAGGUAAUGGAAAACGAUCGCGACCGCUUGAUGACUUUCUUCCUGUGCUAGGUCAGCCCAAUCUUCCAAAAAUAAAAAAAAGCGUGACCCAGGCCGACCACAGAGAACGGAAAAAAGAAAGAGCUGCCACUUCCGAAGCGUAGCCCCGGCGUCCGGCAGGGCGACGUUCCCACCCGCACCCGGCUAGCCUCGGUGCCGGGCACCCUGCCCAGUUUUCACUCGCGGGGUCUCGCUGCCCCCGUGAGGCGAGCGACCCGACCCGCGAGUCCCGGGUCCCGCUGGCGCCCCUGCCUCGGGACAGCCUCACCCAGGACCUGCCUUCCCCGGAGCGGAACAGAAUCCCUCGUUUCAGAUGUUACAUGACUUGCAGCAUGUCCUGUCACAACCUCCCUUUUUCGUUCUCUGCUGUGUGAGAGGAAAUGGGAACACUCAUCGGCAAAGGGAAUUUCUUAAGGAACUCUUAUUGCUGGUGCUGCUGUUGUUUGAGACUUCCAGAAGCCCAUUUUCUCCUGUUAUUGGACGGCUCCAACUGCUUUUGACCAUACCACUCAGGAUUAAGGCAUCUGGACUUACCUGUAUGUGACAGACGUCCCUUGGGCCUGGACAACAGAAGCAGUUGCCAUGAGAUUUUGGGCCUUCUGGCUUGAGCUCAGGAUCUAGGAAUAUGGUUAGAAGAGGACAAAAAAUAUUGCCUUGAGAAGUCACUCGCUGUGUCAUUGAUUGGCCCAUGACUCAGCAGAGGUUCUUCUCAGUAGUUGUCUCGAGGAGUCUGCUUUGACUUAUGUGCAAAUGCAGCCCGAAAAUCAAGAGAAAAUUCUCAGAAGUGUUCUACAGACAUACUUUGAAGAUAUUUCAGGUUUGGUUCCAGAUCACCACAGUAAAGCAAAUAUGGAAAUAAAGCAAGUCCAAUGAGGUUUUUGGUUUCCCAGUGCAUAUAAAAAUUAUGUUUAGGGGUGUUUGGGUGGCUCAGUUGGUUAAGUGUCUCACUCUUGAUUUCCGCUGGGGUCAUGAUCCCAGCAUAAUGAGACUGAGCCCCUCAUCCAACUCCAUGCUAAGCAUGAAGCCUGCUUGAGAUUCUCUCUCUCUCCCUCUGCCUGUCUCCCCCACUCAUGCUCUCUCUCUCUCUCUCUUUCUCAAAAUCAUGUUUACACUAUACUGUAGUCUAUUAAGUGUGAAAUAGCAUUAUGUCUAAAAAAGC